Molecule: ribosomal RNA, 497 nt
Filed under: uncultured bacterium
Lineage: Bacteria
Description: bacterial SSU rRNA
Rfam family: Bacterial small subunit ribosomal RNA
Source: RNAcentral
AUUGAACGCUGGCGGAAUGCUUUACACAUGCAAGUCGAGCGGCAGCGCGGGGCAACCUGGCGGCGAGCGGCGAACGGGUGAGUAACACAUCGGAACGUGCCCAGACGUGGGGGAUAGCCCGGCGAAAGCCGGAUUAAUACCGCAUACGAUCUAAGGAUGAAAGCGGGGGACUCGCAAGGGCCUCGCGCGUUUGGAGCGGCCGAUGGCAGAUUAGGUAGUUGGUGGGGUAAAGGCUUACCAAGCCUGCGAUCUGUAGCUGGUCUGAGAGGAUGAUCAGCCACACUGGGACUGAGACACGGCCCAGACUCCUACGGGAGGCAGCAGUGGGGAAUUUUGGACAAUGGGCGCAAGCCUGAUCCAGCCAUUCCGCGUGCAGGACGAAGGCCUUCGGUGUAAACUGCUUUUGUACGGACGAAAAGGUACUUCUCUAAUAACAGAGGGCCCAUGACGGUACCGUAAGAAUAAGACACCGGCGUAACUACGUGCCAGCAGCCGAC